UUUACUGAGAGUUUGAUUCUGGCUCAGGACGAACGCUGGCGGCGUGCCUAACACAUGCAAGUCGAGCGCCCCGAUUUAUCGGGGAGCGGCGGACGGGUGAGUAACACGUAAGCAACCUACCUCUAAGACGGGGACAACCUUGAGAAAUCUGGGCUAAUACCCGAUGUGACUGCAGUUUAGCAUUUUACUGCAAUUAAACGAAACGUAAGAAUCGCUUAGAGAGGGGCUUGCGACCUAUCAGCUUGUUGGCGGGGUAAAAGCCCACCAAGGCUACGACGGGUAGCUGGUCUGAGAGGAUGACCAGUCACACUGGAACUGAGACACGGUCCAGACUCCUACGGGAGGCAGCAGUGAGGAAUUUUCCGCAAUGGGCGAAAGCCUGACGGAGCGACGCCGUGUGUGUGAUGAAGUCCUUCGGGACGUAAAACACUGUCAGAGGGGACGAUAAUGACGGUACCCUCAGAGGAAGGCCCGGCUAACUACGUGCCAGCAGCCGCGGUAAUACGUAGGGGCCAAGCGUUGUCCGGAAUUACUGGGCGUAAAGAGUAUGUAGGCGGCUUUGUAAGUCCGAUGUUAAAUCUCCCGGCUCAACCGGGAACCUGCAUUGGAUACUGCUUAGCUAGAGAGUAGCAGAGGAAAGUGGAACUUCCGGUGUAGCGGUGAAAUGCGUAGAUAUCGGAAGGAACACCAGUGGCGAAGGCGACUUUCUGGGCUAUUUCUGACGCUGAGAUACGAAAGCCAGGGGAGCAAACGGGAUUAGAUACCCCGGUAGUCCUGGCCCUAAACAAUGGUCAUUAGGUGUAGGAGGUAUCGACCCCUUCUGUGCCAAAGCUAACGCGUUAAAUGACCCGCCUGGGGAGUACGGCCGCAAGGCUAAAACUCAAAGAAAUUGACGGGGGCCCGCACAAGCGGUGGAGCAUGUGGUUCAAUUCGAUGCUACGCGAAGAACCUUACCUGGGCUUGACAUCCUUCGAAUCCCGAUGAAAGUUGGGAGUGCCGGUUUCCGGAACGAAGAGACAGGUGCUGCAUGGCUGUCGUCAGUUCGUGUCGUGAGAUGUUGGGUUAAGUCCCGCAACGAACGCAACCCCUAUUGUUAGUUGCUAGUCUCCGCCUUUGGCGGAGGAAGCACUCUAGCGAGACUGCCUCGGAUAACGAGGAGGAAGGCGGGGACGACGUCAAGUCAUCAUGGCCCUUACGUCCAGGGCAACACACGUGCUACAAUGGCGCGCACAAAGAGAAGCAAGACGGCAACGUGGAGCAAAUCUCAAAAAACGCGCCUCAAUUCGGAUUGAGGGCUGCAAUUCGCCCUCAUGAAGCUGGAAUCGCUAGUAAAUGCAGAUAAGAGCGCUGCAUUGAAUACGUUCUCGGGCCUUGUACACACCGCCCGUCACACCAUGGAAGCUAGAAACACCCAGAGCCCCGUUUUUACGAGGUGAAGGUGGUGCUAGUGACUGGGGUGAAGUCAAAUAUGGCUUCCUAUGGGAGUAAUCCCAUAGUAAAAUCUAACUAUAU
Molecule: ribosomal RNA, 1512 nt
Filed under: Candidatus Margulisiibacteriota bacterium
Lineage: Bacteria; Bacillati; Candidatus Margulisiibacteriota
Description: bacterial SSU rRNA
Rfam family: Bacterial small subunit ribosomal RNA
Source: RNAcentral